UUAGGGAAUUUUGACAAUGGGCGCAAGCCUGAUCGAGUGACGCCGCGUGUGGGACGACGCCUUUCGGGGUGUAAACCACUUUUCUCGGGGACGAGAACGGACGGUACCCGAGGAAUAAGCCCCGGCUAACUACGUGCCAGCAGCCGCGGUAAUACGUAGGGGGCGAGCGUUGUCCGGAAUUACUGGGCGUAAAGAGCGCGUAGGCGGCCCGCCGCGUCGGUCGUGAAAGCUCCCGGCUCACCCGGGAGAGGGCGACCGAAACGGGCGGGCUUUGAGGGCGGUAGGGGCUGGCGGAACGCCCGGAGUAGCGGUGAAAUGCGUUGAGAUCGGGCAGAACACCAGUGGCGAAGGCGGCCGGCUGGGCCGACCCUGACGCUGAGGCGCGAAAGCUAGGGGAGCGAACGGAAUUAGAUACCCCCGUAGUCC
RNAcentral lists this ribosomal RNA (426 nucleotides) under uncultured bacterium. Its description in RNAcentral is "bacterial SSU rRNA". It matches the Rfam family "Bacterial small subunit ribosomal RNA", at positions 355 to 796 of the family's 1533-position model. The record is from RNAcentral.